Molecule: long non-coding RNA, 2259 nt
Filed under: Homo sapiens (human)
Lineage: Eukaryota; Metazoa; Chordata; Mammalia; Primates; Hominidae
Description: non-protein coding ASB16-AS1:17
Source: RNAcentral
GUGGCUUCGCGACUGCGGAAGGUUGCCCGGGCUGGCGCCGCUGGGCAGAGCCGGUGCGACGUUUCCCUUUCCAGCUUUGUUCUUCCGGCCCUGCUGUCUGCCUCCCCGGCUGAUUGGAUUCGUUACUGCUUUGCAACGCGCACCUAACUCCAGACGGGGUCUCACUCUGUCGCCCAGGCUGGAGUGCAGUGGCACAAUCUCAGCUUGCUGUGACCUCAGCUCUCUGCGACCUCUGCUUGCUGGACUCAAGCGAUCCUCCCACCACCUCAGCCUCCUGAGUAGCUGGAACCAUCAUAUGCACCAGCACGCCUGGCUAAGCUGGAAUGCAAUAGCGUGGUCUUGGCUCACUGCAACCUCCGCCUCCCGGGUUCAAGCAAUUCUCCUGCCUCAGCCUCCUAAGUAGCUGGGACUACAGGGGCCCUCCUGCUGCUCCCUCCAUGAGGCUGGUCCUGAAGGAAUAGGCCUGUGGCUCGUCCCUCCUCCCCAUCUCGGCCCUGAGGCAAACAUACCUUCCACAGCUCUGGGAGCACCGCCUCCACCCAGGUCUCACAGGAUGGGACACAAGGAUAGGCAUUAAGCAGGACUUCCAGGGCCCGAGGGAAGUUGGCGCAGUGUUUCAGCAUCUAGGGGUCAAAAGAGGGUCUUGGGCACAUGCCUCCCCCACCCGAGGGCAGACCCAAGUCUUGCCUCACCCACAUGGCCAAUCCUAGCCUAAUCUGGGGGGCUAAGGUCUGAGUCUCUCUUCCCUUUUUUGUGCCUCUGUCUACCCCACCCUCAAGUAUGCUCCAACCUUUUGGCCCCAGUUUUCCUCUGGGGCUCUUCCCUCCCUUGGACUCUCUCUCCCAGAAUCCUCUCUCCCCCUCCCAAGCUGGGGACAGCCCCCUGGCCACUGAGGGCAGGCUUUCAGUCUCUUGGACCCUCUGUCUUCCCCAGAAGCGGAGCAGUUCCAGCCGCGGGCUCCCCCACACAGGAGCCUCCUAUGUCAGGGCCUCCCAGCGCACCUCAGGGCGCACUGGCUGCGCCCCGUAGUCCAGCAGUGCGGCGAAAAGGACUUCAGGCUCCCAGUUGGGGGAGUCCUGGACGGCCUGCAGCGCACAGUCCAUGGGCGUGUGGCCCGCCCCAUUGGGGACCUCAGCGCGGGCCCCGUAACGCAGCAGCAGCUCGGCCAGGCCCCCGCAGCCGUUGGCACAAGCGUUGUGCAGCGGCGUGUGGCGCUUGCGCCCGGCCGCCCGGGCAUCAGCUCCAGCCUCCAGGAGCCGGCGCGCCGCAGCCUGGUGUCGCCUGCAGCUACCUGGGCCCUCGGCCCCAGCGCACGCCGUGUUCAGCGCAGUCUCGCCCUGGCUGGUGCGCAGGCCCACGUCGGCGCCAUGCUCCAGGUACAGAGCCACAUGUUGCUCCAGGCCGCGCGCCGCCGCCACGUGCAGGGGCGUCUCCUGGCUCUCGCCUGCUGCCAGGUUCACCGUCGCUCCUGCUUCCAGCAGCAACUUGGCGCACCUGGGGACAAGAGAGCAAGGUCCUGAGGAAAAUCCUGAAGGCUUGGGACCCCUUCAGCUUGCUGUGACACUCCCUUGCCUUUCCACCCCUCUCAGCUUGAGGUCCUACCUGGUGUCCUCCAUGAGAAUCAUACAAGCCCCGCUACAGACAACAGAAUUGGAAGGUCCUGAGAGCUACCAGAAGCAUCUUCAGUUUUCAUAUGAAAAACUUAAGCCCAGGAGUGAUUUGUGCAGCCAAGGACACACAGCAAGUUAGUGGCUGCACCAGAAAUAGUACUCACUGCCUCAGACAGUCCCUCCCACAGUCUACUCUGUCUCCACCCCAAGGUCUGGUUCUGAAUCAUUCAGUUGUCAGUUGUCUCCUUUUUUUUUUUUUUUUUUGGAGACAGGGUCUCUCUCUGUGGCCCAGGCUGAAGUGCAGUGGUGUGAUUACAGCUCAUGUAGCCUGGACCUCCCAAGCUCAAGCAAUCCUCCUGCCUCUGCCUCCCAAGUAGCUGGGACCACAGGUGGGCAGCACCACACCUGGCUAAUUUUUUAAAUUUUUUUUUAUAGAGACAGGGUCUUACCAUUUGCCCCAGCUGGUCUCAAACCCCUGGGCUCAAGCAAGCCUCCUGCCUUGGCCUCCCAAAGUGCUGGGAUUACAGGUGUGAGCCACCACACCCGGCCUUAUCUCCUAACAUUUUGAUAGCACAAAAUUUUGAAAACCCACUUCUGUGUACGUUAUGAAGCAUAGAAAAUUAAACAGUAUGCACCAAAAAAAAAUAAA